CAGUAGCCGCGGUAAUACGAAGGGUGCAAGCGUUAAUCGGAAUUACUGGGCGUAAAGCGUGCGUAGGCGGUUUGUUAAGUCUGCUGUGAAAUCCCCGGGCUCAACCUGGGAAUGGCAGUGGAUACUGGCAAGCUAGAGUGUGUCAGAGGAUGGUGGAAUUCCCGGUGUAGCGGUGAAAUGCGUAGAGAUCGGGAGGAACAUCAGUGGCGAAGGCGGCCAUCUGGGACAACAUUGACGCUAAGGCACGAAAGCGUGGGGAGCAAACAGGAUUAGAUACCCCCGUAGUCCCUGUCUCUUAUAC
Molecule: ribosomal RNA, 301 nt
Filed under: uncultured bacterium
Lineage: Bacteria
Description: partial 16S ribosomal RNA
Rfam family: Bacterial small subunit ribosomal RNA
Source: RNAcentral